Molecule: ribosomal RNA, 254 nt
Filed under: uncultured bacterium
Lineage: Bacteria
Description: partial 16S ribosomal RNA
Rfam family: Bacterial small subunit ribosomal RNA
Source: RNAcentral
UACGUAGGGUGCGAGCGUUGUCCGGAAUUAUUGGGCGUAAAGAGCUCGUAGGCGGUGUGUCACGUCGUUCGUGAAAACCUGCAGCUUAACUGUGGGCGUGCGGUCGAUACGGGCAUCACUGGAGUUCGGCAGGGGAGACUGGAAUUCCUGGUGUAGCGGUGAAAUGCGCAGAUAUCAGGAAGAACACCAAUGGCGAAGGCAGCUCUCUGGGACGGUACUGACGCUGAGACGCGAAAGCGUGGGGAGCGAACAGG